GAUCCCAGGGUCUGAGAGAGAGCCAAGAUGAAUAUGGCCUUCCAAGAAGACAUGCUGACAAGAAAAGACUCAGAGUGCCCAGGAGCUUCCCCUUCCUACCAACCCUGCAGCCUGGAACCCUAGCCAUACCUCUCCCUGACUGUGGACAGUACAGCCUUUGAGCUGAGCCAAGCUGCUCCCCUGGCGAUUUCCAUAAGAGUACCACUUAUCAGCACCUUGGACAGCAUACAAAUGAUUCUGCAUCUCCAGAAAUUGUCACAGCCACCCCAACCUUCAGCUACCACUACCCUGAUUCAUCAGCAUCAAUACCAAGGCAACAUCCUCCACCAGAAAAAGAUUACAACUCAAGCACAUUCACCUGGGGAUCUGGCAAGAUGGCUGAAUAGCAACAGCUCCGGUCUGCAGCUCCCAGCGAGACCAACACAGAAGUUUUGAUCAGCGACUGGUUGAAUCCGUGGAUGCAAAACCUGUGGAUACAGAGGGACAGAGGCCUACUGUACAUGG
This 504-nucleotide small RNA is filed under the name Pan troglodytes (chimpanzee). RNAcentral describes it as "processed transcript". The record is from RNAcentral. Lineage: Eukaryota; Metazoa; Chordata; Mammalia; Primates; Hominidae.